CGCGUAGGCGGUUCCGUAAGCAGCGUGUGAAAUCCCUCGGCUCAACCGUGGAAUUGCACGCUGGACUGCGGUUCUAGAGGACGGGAGGGGGUGCGGAACUCUAGGUGUAGCGGUGAAAUGCGUAGAUAUCUAGAGGAACACCGGUGGCGAAAGCGACACCCUGGCCCGUAACUGACGCUGAGGCGCGAAAGCGUGGGUAGCAAACA
Molecule: ribosomal RNA, 206 nt
Filed under: uncultured bacterium
Lineage: Bacteria
Description: partial 16S ribosomal RNA
Rfam family: Bacterial small subunit ribosomal RNA
Source: RNAcentral